This 253-nucleotide ribosomal RNA is filed under the name uncultured bacterium. RNAcentral describes it as "partial 16S ribosomal RNA". It matches the Rfam family "Bacterial small subunit ribosomal RNA", at positions 524 to 776 of the family's 1533-position model. The record is from RNAcentral.
UACGUAGGGAGCGAGCGUUGUCCGGAUUUACUGGGUGUAAAGGGUGCGUAGGCGGAAAGGCAAGUCAGUAGUGAAAUCUAUGGGCUUAACCCAUAAACUGCUAUUGAAACUGUUUUUCUUGAGUGAAGUAGAGGUAGGCGGAAUUCCCGGUGUAGCGGUGAAAUGCGUAGAGAUCGGGAGGAACACCAGUGGCGAAGGCGGCCUACUGGGCUUUAACUGACGCUGAGGCACGAAAGUGUGGGUAGCAAACAGG